UGGGGAAUAUUGCACAAUGGGCACAAGCCUGAUGCAGCCAUGCCGCGUGUGUGAAGAAGGCCUUCGGGUUGUAAAGCACUUUCAGCGGGGAGGAAGGCGUUAAGGUUAAUAACCUUGGCGAUUGACGUUACCCGCAGAAGAAGCACCGGCUAACUCCGUGCCAGCAGCCGCGGUAAUACGGAGGGUGCAAGCGUUAAUCGGAAUUACUGGGCGUAAAGCGCACGCAGGCGGUCUGUCAAGUCGGAUGUGAAAUCCCCGGGCUCAACCUGGGAACUGCAUUCGAAACUGGCAGGCUAGAGUCUUGUAGAGGGGGGUAGAAUUCCAGGUGUAGCGGUGAAAUGCGUAGAGAUCUGGAGGAAUACCGGUGGCGAAGGCGGCCCCCUGGACAAAGACUGACGCUCAGGUGCGAAAGCGUGGGGAGCAAACAGG
Molecule: ribosomal RNA, 429 nt
Filed under: Chloroflexota bacterium
Lineage: Bacteria; Bacillati; Chloroflexota
Description: Chloroflexi bacterium partial 16S ribosomal RNA
Rfam family: Bacterial small subunit ribosomal RNA
Source: RNAcentral